This is a long non-coding RNA of Sinocyclocheilus grahami, 1339 nucleotides long. RefSeq lists it as uncharacterized. The transcript has 3 exons. Lineage: Eukaryota; Metazoa; Chordata; Actinopteri; Cypriniformes; Cyprinidae. The record is from RefSeq and is a predicted model, not a curated record.
CGAAACGUCUCUUAUUUGUAUUUAUCUCCUGUUUAAAUAAAGAGUAUUUUAGAGUGCAGACCUUGAGUUACGUUUAAUAUAACAUAGUUUAACUGGAAAAUGAGCCAAAAUACUCAAUACACAAGUCCUGGAAAUGAAUACAUAACUUAUCCUUCAAGAGUUCACAUCUUUAAAGGACAAAAAAGUAAUGAUGUAAAUAUUUAAGAAAUCAAAUUAUGUGGAACACAAUAGAAGAUCCUGUUCACCAUCUGCGUAUGGAACAUUUUGUGAAACGUCUUCUUUUGUGUUCCACCGAAGACAGGAAACAUUGGGCAACAUGAGGAUCAUCUUGCAGUUUGUCCUAAAUAUGUAUGUGUACUGAGAAAAGAGAAAGCAAGUCUGAGUGAGAAUCUGUGAGCUGAGAGCGCGAUCGGUGGAGAACCCUGGGUGUACGUGAGAUGCUGACAGAAAUGUUGUGUUCCUGGAGAGAGAGACAGAGAGACAGAGCGAUGAGCUGGCCAGAAUCUAUCAGCUGCUGCUGGGUGCGAGACAUCUGGUGCGGCCAGAUGCCCGUCCGGUCACUAAUCACACCAACAUCUCAUCAUGACCAUUGAUCAAUCAAUCUGUCUCGCCAGGCCUGCAGACCGCAUGUUUAUGACUAUAAAGAAAAAUAUCCUGCCUUACCAACAAGGGCGAAACGUCACCUCAAGAUUAAGCAAUAUUUAUUUGGCUUGCAGGGAGUGUUGUGUUUCAAGGCUUUUAAAAAGACAUUAAAGCUUUUAGUAGUGGGGAAUAGUUCUCAGGGGACCAUCUAAACCCAGAGGAAAAUUUUAUUGCUUUUUCGUGGCUCUUAAUGGAGCCUUAAUCAGUUAUUUUUCAUUUAUAAAACUUUGUCUCUGUUGUUUCUGCUAAAGUUCUUUAGGGGAAGUAAAAUAGAUGCAAAUAAGGCAUACAGUUAUAGUAUAGUAGUAAAUCAAAUGGUCUACUUUUAUGAUUGUUUUUACCCUUUAGCAUCUUCACAGCUGGUCACUGUCUACUUUUAUUUUGUUGAAAAUGCUGUCAUCAUUUACAUCCCAUCAUGUCAUGUCAAACCCAUAUGGCUUACUUGUAUUCAAUGGAACACAAAAGGAGAUGGUUUACAGAAAGUUCAAGCUGCUGUUUUCCAGACAACAACCAUAUAGUGCAAAAAAGUGUUCUUUAUAUGAAGAGUUCAGGUGCAAAAGCCUCCAAGUGCCGUUUUAAAUUUUCUUCUAAAAUGAGCAUUUGUCUCAGACUCCUAUGUGUAGGUUCAGUAUUUUCACUUUAAUGUCAAUGACUAGGUUCUUUUCAUCGCCAUUAAAGUGAAAUAACUGAACAUAAA